Long non-coding RNA from Brienomyrus brachyistius, 733 nucleotides. RefSeq lists it as uncharacterized. Lineage: Eukaryota; Metazoa; Chordata; Actinopteri; Osteoglossiformes; Mormyridae. The transcript is spliced from 3 exons. The record is from RefSeq and is a predicted model, not a curated record.
GCGUUCGAUGACAGAAGAAACGUGGCCCAUCAUAAAAGCAGGGGGUGUCUUUCAAGGAGCAGGAGCCUCAUCUGAGGUUUAUCAGCGACUGCAGCAAUCAUAAUGGUGAUCCUUCCAGGAACAUCGGCGUCACAUCCUGGAGCUUCAGUGGUACAGAAAUGGCCCUCAGUCGGUGGCAGCCUGUGAGUCUUGAGCAGUGCUGCGAGAGUGACCUGCUGUUACGUAGCUACAGCAGCUGAAAUGAGGUGCCUGUGGCGAGCUGGAGGAUACCUCUGAGGCUCUCCCUGGCCGAUUUCUGCAGCAGCCUGGCUUUGCUGCCCAGGGACCCAGGACACCAACCCCGACAGCCAUGGGAGGUUCAACUGACUGUGGAGCUGCCUACAACCCCCGUCAAUCACGGGCCUCUGCUCGCUGCAAAGGAGCUAAGGGUAUUUAUCUGUACAGACCAAACAGAGAUCAUACUUGUGGUAUCUGCUUUCUGUUUUGGCAAAUGGAGAGGGGUCUGUUUAUUUGGCCUGCCCCCAUUAACUGGGCCCAUAAAUAUAUGGAAGACCUAAAAUACUGGUGAUGGACAUGGAUUUCACACCAACCAUGGUCUAAGCCAGAUAUCAUUAGAUAUUACAAAUCAGUGUGUGUGUGAGACUGGUCCAUCAUUAAUCGGUUUUAGAUGAGGCUCAGAUCUCCCAAAAUGGCCAAAGAGAUAUCAUAAUUUGUACAGUUUAAGCAUAAUGCC